RNAcentral lists this ribosomal RNA (253 nucleotides) under uncultured bacterium. RNAcentral describes it as "partial 16S ribosomal RNA". It matches the Rfam family "Bacterial small subunit ribosomal RNA", at positions 524 to 776 of the family's 1533-position model. The record is from RNAcentral.
UACGAAGGGGGCUAGCGUUGUUCGGAAUUACUGGGCGUAGAGCGCACGUAGGCGGACUACUAAGUCAGGGGUGAAAUCCCGGGGCUCAACCCCGGAACUGCCUUUGAUACUGAGAGUCUCGAGUCCGGAAGAGGUGAGUGGAAUUCCGAGUGUAGAGGUGAAAUUCGUAGAUAUUCGGAGGAACACCAGUGGCGAAGGCGGCUCACUGGUCCGGUACUGACGCUGAGGUGCGAAAGCGUGGGGAGCAAACAGG